GCGGAUUUAGCUCAGUUGGGAGAGCGCCAGACUGAAGUAAUCUGGAGGUCCUGUGUUCAAUCCACAGAAUUCGCA
This 75-nucleotide transfer RNA is filed under the name Yarrowia lipolytica CLIB122. Its description in RNAcentral is "tRNA YALI0_C19514r". It matches the Rfam family "tRNA". Rfam says of the family: Transfer RNA (tRNA) molecules are approximately 80 nucleotides in length. Their secondary structure includes four short double-helical elements and three loops (D, anti-codon, and T loops). Further hydrogen bonds mediate the characteristic L-shaped molecular structure. tRNAs have two regions of fundamental functional importance: the anti-codon, which is responsible for specific mRNA codon recognition, and the 3' end, to which the tRNAs corresponding amino acid is attached (by aminoacyl-tRNA synthetases). tRNAs cope with the degeneracy of the genetic code in two manners: having more than one tRNA (with a specific anti-codon) for a particular amino acid; and 'wobble' base-pairing, i.e. permitting non-standard base-pairing at the 3rd anti-codon position. The record is from RNAcentral. Lineage: Eukaryota; Fungi; Ascomycota; Dipodascomycetes; Dipodascales.